AGAGUUUGAUCAUGGCUCAGGACGAACGCUGGCGGCGUGCCUAACACGUGCAAGUCGAGCGAGGGACUUCGGUCCCUAGCGGCGGACGGGUGAGUAACACGUGGGUAACCUGCCUCAUAGAGGGGGAUAGCCUCCCGAAAGGGAGAUUAAUACCGCAUAUUAUCAUGCUGACGCAUGUCAGAAUGAUGAAAGGAGCAAUCCGCUAUGAGAUGGACCCGCGGCGCAUUAGCUAGUUGGUGAGGUAAUGGCUCACCAAGGCGACGAUGCGUAGCCGACCUGAGAGGGUGAUCGGCCACAUUGGAACUGAGACACGGUCCAGACUCCUACGGGAGGCAGCAGUGGGGAAUAUUGCACAAUGGGCGAAAGCCUGAUGCAGCAACGCCGCGUGAGUGAUGAAGGCCUUCGGGUUGUAAAGCUCUGUCUUUUGGGACGAUAAUGACGGUACCAAAGGAGGAAGCCACGGCUAACUACGUGCCAGCAGCCGCGGUAAUACGUAGGUGGCAAGCGUUGUCCGGAUUUACUGGGCGUAAAGGAUGCGUAGGUGGAUAUUUAAGUGGGAUGUGAAAUACCCGAGCUCAACUUGGGUGCUGCAUUCCAAACUGGAUAUCUAGAGUGCAGGAUAGGUAAGUGGAAUUCCUAGUGUAGCGGUGAAAUGCGUAGAGAUUAGGAAGAACACCAGUGGCGAAGCGACUUACUGGACUGUAACUGACACUGAGCAUGAAAGCGUGGGGAGCAAACAGGAUUAGAUACCCUGGUAGUCACGCCGUAACGAUGGGUACUAGGUGUAGAGUAUCGACCCCUCUGUGCGAGUUACGCAAUAAGUACCCCGCCUGGG
This 835-nucleotide ribosomal RNA is filed under the name uncultured bacterium. RNAcentral's name for it is "bacterial SSU rRNA". It matches the Rfam family "Bacterial small subunit ribosomal RNA", at positions 8 to 877 of the family's 1533-position model. The record is from RNAcentral.